AAGUGAUCGCAACACACGCCCUCUCCACUACGAUAAUCCAUGCGCGUGGAAGCGACGGCUACCACGUCGUCAAAUGCUGUACGGCGAUCUACGGGGUUCUUUUCUAACGAAGCAUCAACCUGAGAGACCAUGAGGCUUCUGGCUGUCACGUUUCUAUUGGGUGCGCUCACGACGGUUGUUCAUUCCGCGUGCGAUGAGGGCCUCGCUCGGAUGGUCUUGGUGGACUGCGCAACCGAAGCAACACAGCUGAAGCCGGAAUUUGCGAAAGCUGGGUACUGGACGCAAGUGGACACAUCUGAUGUGUCCCAAGUGAGGAGUGCAUGCUGCGUUCAGAAGGCAUUAACGAGGUGCCUCAGACAGAAACUCACCGGGAGUGUGCAUCGCUUAGUGAAGCCAUGAUCAAGAAGAUGCGAGCACAAAGGAAAGAGACUCUGCGUAACCGCUGGAAGUGUGACGUUUUCACACGCUACUGUUGAGGAGCAGGAUGUUUGCCCCCACCAGGGCUCAAAGUGUCAGGACGCAUCCAAAAAGUAUGCUGAUCCCUGCACACUGGAAAUAAAUUUGUUCAGUCCGCAUAAAUA
Long non-coding RNA from Ornithodoros turicata, 581 nucleotides. RefSeq lists it as uncharacterized. The transcript has 4 exons. NCBI's taxonomy places the organism in Eukaryota, Metazoa, Arthropoda, Arachnida, Ixodida, Argasidae. The record is from RefSeq and is a predicted model, not a curated record.